AACGUAGGUCACAAGCGUUGUCCGGAAUUACUGGGUGUAAAGGGAGCGCAGGCGGGAAGAUAAGUUGGAAGUGAAAUCUAUGGGCUCAACCCAUAAACUGCUUUCAAAACUGUUUUUCUUGAGUAGUGCAGAGGUAGGCGGAAUUCCCGGUGUAGCGGUGGAAUGCGUAGAUAUCGGGAGGAACACCAGUGGCGAAGGCGGCCUACUGGGCACCAACUGACGCUGAGGCUCGAAAGUGUGGGUAGCAAACAGG
RNAcentral lists this ribosomal RNA (253 nucleotides) under Faecalibacterium prausnitzii. Its description in RNAcentral is "partial 16S ribosomal RNA". It matches the Rfam family "Bacterial small subunit ribosomal RNA", at positions 524 to 776 of the family's 1533-position model. The record is from RNAcentral. Lineage: Bacteria; Bacillati; Bacillota; Clostridia; Eubacteriales; Oscillospiraceae.